RNAcentral lists this ribosomal RNA (428 nucleotides) under uncultured bacterium. Its description in RNAcentral is "partial 16S ribosomal RNA". It matches the Rfam family "Bacterial small subunit ribosomal RNA", at positions 354 to 796 of the family's 1533-position model. The record is from RNAcentral.
ACUAGGAAUUUUGCGCAAUGGGGGCAACCCUGACGCAGCGACACAGCGUGGAGGAGGAAGGUCUUCGGAUUGUAAACUCCUUUUAUAUGGGAAGAAUAGAUGACUGUACCAUAUGAAUAAGCACCUGCUAACUACGUGCCAGAAGCAUCGGUGAUGCGUAGGGUGCGAACGUUAUCCGGAUUUAUUGGGCGUAAAGAGAUACGUAGGCGUUUCAGUUAGUCUUUCGUUAAAAGUCACGGCUUAACCGUGAAGAUGCGUUGGAUACUGCUGAAAUUGAGACAUGAAGGGGUGAACGGAACUCCAAGUGGAGCGGUGAAAUGCGUUGAUAUUUGGAAGAACAUCAGAGGCGAAGGCGGUUCACUGGUCAUUGUCUGACGCUAAGGCUCGAAAGCGUGGGUAGCAAAACGGAUUAGAUACCCCGGUAGUCC